This 75-nucleotide transfer RNA is filed under the name Endozoicomonadaceae bacterium. RNAcentral's name for it is "tRNA-Glu". It matches the Rfam family "tRNA". Rfam says of the family: Transfer RNA (tRNA) molecules are approximately 80 nucleotides in length. Their secondary structure includes four short double-helical elements and three loops (D, anti-codon, and T loops). The record is from RNAcentral. Lineage: Bacteria; Pseudomonadati; Pseudomonadota; Gammaproteobacteria; Oceanospirillales; Endozoicomonadaceae.
GUCCCCUUCGUCUAGAGGUUAGGACAUCGCCCUUUCACGGCGGUAACAGGGGUUCGAAUCCCCUAGGGGACGCCA